This 819-nucleotide ribosomal RNA is filed under the name Staphylococcus warneri. RNAcentral describes it as "bacterial SSU rRNA". It matches the Rfam family "Bacterial small subunit ribosomal RNA", at positions 70 to 871 of the family's 1533-position model. Lineage: Bacteria; Bacillati; Bacillota; Bacilli; Caryophanales; Staphylococcaceae. The record is from RNAcentral.
CAGAUAAGGAGCUUGCUCCUUUGACGUUAGCGGCGGACGGGUGAGUAACACGUGGAUAACCUACCUAUAAGACUGGGAUAACUUCGGGAAACCGGAGCUAAUACCGGAUAACAUAUUGAACCGCAUGGUUCAAUAGUGAAAGGCGGCUUUGCUGUCACUUAUAGAUGGAUCCGCGCCGUAUUAGCUAGUUGGUAAGGUAACGGCUUACCAAGGCAACGAUACGUAGCCGACCUGAGAGGGUGAUCGGCCACACUGGAACUGAGACACGGUCCAGACUCCUACGGGAGGCAGCAGUAGGGAAUCUUCCGCAAUGGGCGAAAGCCUGACGGAGCAACGCCGCGUGAGUGAUGAAGGUCUUCGGAUCGUAAAACUCUGUUAUCAGGGAAGAACAAAUGUGUAAGUAACUGUGCACAUCUUGACGGUACCUGAUCAGAAAGCCACGGCUAACUACGUGCCAGCAGCCGCGGUAAUACGUAGGUGGCAAGCGUUAUCCGGAAUUAUUGGGCGUAAAGCGCGCGUAGGCGGUUUUUUAAGUCUGAUGUGAAAGCCCACGGCUCAACCGUGGAGGGUCAUUGGAAACUGGAAAACUUGAGUGCAGAAGAGGAAAGUGGAAUUCCAUGUGUAGCGGUGAAAUGCGCAGAGAUAUGGAGGAACACCAGUGGCGAAGGCGACUUUCUGGUCUGUAACUGACGCUGAUGUGCGAAAGCGUGGGGAUCAAACAGGAUUAGAUACCCUGGUAGUCCACGCCGUAAACGAUGAGUGCUAAGUGUUAGGGGGUUUCCGCCCCUUAGUGCUGCAGCUAACGCAUUAAGCACUCCG